Molecule: microRNA precursor, 91 nt
Filed under: Marmota monax (woodchuck)
Lineage: Eukaryota; Metazoa; Chordata; Mammalia; Rodentia; Sciuridae
Source: RNAcentral
UGUGUGUGUGUGUGUGUGUGUGUGUAUGUGUGAAUAUAUAUUUUAUACCUGUGUGUAUACACACACACACACACACACACACACACACACA